UUUAACCACUAGAGGCAGAUAUGCUGCAGUACUCUGUUUAACCACUAGAGGCAGAUAUGCUGCAGUACUGUUUAACCCCUAGAGGCAGAUAUGCUGCAGUACUGUGUUUAACCACUAGAGGCAGAGAGAAUGCAGGACUGUGUAUUAGCAGCAAGCACUAAACAGGGGGAAGAGUUACCAUUUUAAUGGCUGAAAAAAAUUGCCAUUUUAUUCAUUCCAGAGAGUAAAAAAAUUACUAAUCAUAGUCCUCUCAUUCUGGACAGACAAGGGCAGAUUAGUAAAAAAAAGAAAUACAUUUAGUAAUUGUGUAGCAACUAUUUUUAUACAGUUAGGUUUAAUAUAAUGUAUGCGUUUCAUCAUUUUGGGGUAUUAUUAUUUAUUUCAUUUAUGGCUGUUGAUGUUGUUGUUAUUAUUGAAUGUACUGAUGCAUCUGUUUUAAGUUGUAAACACUAUGCUAAUAUGAACAAAUACUGGUUUGUUGUUGAUUCUAUUGCUGAAUGCUUCUCUGCAGUAUAAAACCGUGUAAGAGUAGAACAGUGAGAAGCGUGUCUGCAUGAGUCCCAGUCAUAGAUGGUGUCUGUCACCUUCUCCCUUCACUACACAAGAUGAAGAAUGAAUUUAUGCUUCAGGGACUUUGACACAGCUACACACACACACACACACACACACACACACACACACACACACACACUGUCACACUCCUUCUCAAUUGAUCUCCCUGAUCAACCAGUCAGGAUGAGAGGGUUUGACGCUAUGUGUGUGUGUUUUAGAUAUGUUUGUGUAUGUGUGUGUGUGUCUAGCAGGCACUUGCUGAAUUGAUGACCCCUUUAGACAAACCACCCUUUACAGAGCAGUGAGACAGGGUCAGAGCAGUGAGACAGGGUCAGAGCAGAGACAGGUGGAAAGCAGAAAGACAGGUGGAAAGCAGAGAGAAAGGUAGAGAGUAGAGAGACAGGUGGAGAGCAGAGAGACAGGUAUAGAGUAGAGAGACAGGUGGAGAGCAGAGAGACAGGUGGAGAGCAGAGAGACAGGUAGAGAGCAGAGAGACAGGUGGAGAGCAGAGAGACAGGUGGAAAGCAGAGAGACAGGUGGAGAGCAGAGAGACAGGUGGAAAGCAGAGAGACAGGUAGAGAGUAGGGAGACAGGUGGAGAGCAGAGAGACAGGUGGAAAGCAGAGAGACAGGUGGAGAGCAGAUAGACAGGUGGAGAGCAGAGAGACAGGUAUCGAGUAGAGAGACAGGUGGAGAGCAGAGAGACAGGUGGAGAGCAGAGAGACAGGUGGAGAGCAGAGAGACAGGUAGAGAGUAGAGAGAUAG
Osmerus eperlanus (European smelt) is the source of this 1316-nucleotide long non-coding RNA. RefSeq lists it as uncharacterized. The transcript is spliced from 2 exons. The record is from RefSeq and is a predicted model, not a curated record. Lineage: Eukaryota; Metazoa; Chordata; Actinopteri; Osmeriformes; Osmeridae.